Molecule: ribosomal RNA, 370 nt
Filed under: uncultured bacterium
Lineage: Bacteria
Description: bacterial SSU rRNA
Rfam family: Bacterial small subunit ribosomal RNA
Source: RNAcentral
GACGAACGCUGGCGGCGUGCUUAACACAUGCAAGUCGAGCGGAAAGGCCCUUCGGGUACGUCGAGCGGCGAACGGGUGAGUAACACGUGAGUAACCUGCCCUUGGCUCUGGGAUAGCUCCGGGAAACCGGAAUUAAUACCGGAUAUGACCUCGGCCGACAUCGGCUGUGGUGGAAAGAUUUAUCGGCCAGGGAUGGGCUCGCGGCCUAUCAGCUAGUUGGUGGGAACGGCCGUACCAAGGCGACGACGGGUAGCCGGCCUGAGAGGGCGACCGGCCACCACUGGGACUGAGACACGGCCCAGACUCCUACGGGAGGCAGCAGUGGGGAAUAUUGCGCAAUGGGCGAAAGCCUGACGCAGCGACGCCGCGU